This 432-nucleotide ribosomal RNA is filed under the name uncultured bacterium. RNAcentral describes it as "partial 16S ribosomal RNA". It matches the Rfam family "Bacterial small subunit ribosomal RNA", at positions 354 to 796 of the family's 1533-position model. The record is from RNAcentral.
GUGGGGAAUAUUGCACAAUGGGCGCAAGCCUGAUGCAGCAACGCCGCGUGAGGGAUGACGGCCUUCGGGUUAUAAACCUCUUUUAGUAGGGAAGAAGCCGCACGGUGACGGUACCUGCAGAAAAAGCACCGGCUAACUACGUGCCAGCAGCCGCGGUAAUACGUAGGGUGCAAGCGUUGUCCGGAAUUAUUGGGCGUAAAGAGCUCGUAGGCGGCUUGUCGCGUCUGCUGUGAAAACCCGGGGCUCAACCCCGGGCCUGCAGUGGGUACGGGCAGGCUAGAGUGCGGUAGGGGAGAUUGGAAUUCCUGGUGUAGCGGUGGAAUGCGCAGAUAUCAGGAGGAACACCGAUGGCGAAGGCAGAUCUCUGGGCCGUAACUGACGCUGAGGAGCGAAAGCGUGGGGAUCAAACAGGAUUAGAUACCCGGGUAGUCC